GCUCCAUGCACGAUAGAGUGACCUGCGGAAGGAUCAUUACAGAGUUCAUGCCCGAAAGGGUAGACCUCCCACCCUUGUGUAUUAUUACUUUGUUGCUUUGGCGAGCUGCCUUCGGGCCUUGUAUGCUCGCCAGAGAAUACCAAAACUCUUUUUAUUAAUGUCGUCUGAGUACUAUAUAAUAGUUAAAACUUUCAACAACGGAUCUCUUGGUUCUGGCAUCGAUGAAGAACGCAGCGAAAUGCGAUAAGUAAUGUGAAUUGCAGAAUUCAGUGAAUCAUCGAAUCUUUGAACGCACAUUGCGCCCCUUGGUAUUCCGGGGGGCAUGCCUGUUCGAGCGUCAUUUCAACCCUCAAGCUUAGCUUGGUAUUGAGUCUAUGUCAGUAAUGGCAGGCUCUAAAAUCAGUGGCGGCGCCGCUGGGUCCUGAACGUAGUAAUAUCUCUCGUUACAGGUUCUCGGUGUGCUUCUGCCAAAACCCAAAUUUUUCUAUGGUUGACCUCGGAUCAGGUAGGGAUACCCGCUGAACUUAAGCAUAUCAAA
RNAcentral lists this ribosomal RNA (538 nucleotides) under Botrytis cinerea. RNAcentral describes it as "eukaryotic LSU rRNA". The stretch from base 187 to 340 matches the Rfam family "5.8S ribosomal RNA". Lineage: Eukaryota; Fungi; Ascomycota; Leotiomycetes; Helotiales; Sclerotiniaceae. The record is from RNAcentral.